GUUUGUAGAAGGACCAUCAGUAGAGCCUUUACAUCAGAGCUUUUUAAUACUAGCCAUGAUUUUCUUCUGUGGGCUGUUUUUUAUUCUCCCUUCAGCCUCUGGGCAUCUGGAAGUCCACCACUCCACUGACUGCACAGACCCUGUCCAAGUAGUCAUCUUAUACAGGAGUCAAGACAUCUCCAAGUACCCCCCAUCUGGUCCUACCCUCCAGCCCACCCACAAAUAAUUAUGUCUAGUAUUAUAUAUCUGCUCAAAAAACAAGAGACCCAAGUGGAAAGCAGAAGCAAGCAUGGACUUGGCAUCUGAUUGUGGUCUGGAUCAGCGCAAUAUUAUUGGAGCCAACUGGAAAGGAAACCACCACCCAGAUCCA
This 370-nucleotide long non-coding RNA is filed under the name Fukomys damarensis (Damara mole-rat). Its description in RNAcentral is "lncRNA (ENSFDAG00000021886.1)". Lineage: Eukaryota; Metazoa; Chordata; Mammalia; Rodentia; Bathyergidae. The record is from RNAcentral.